AAGAAGACUAAUUUUUAGUUCUUUGAUACAAUAUUUUGACUCUUCUUCUUAUUUGAAUUUUUUUACGAUUGAUAUUUUUGUUCUUACUAGAUGAUAAAGCAUGAAUAAUACUUUAUGCAUGACUAAUUUUUUUAAGUUUUUGUAUAAAUUUUUUAAAUAAGACAAAUGGUCAAAUGUUAGAUACGAAAAAAC
Molecule: microRNA precursor, 192 nt
Filed under: Oryza brachyantha (malo sina)
Lineage: Eukaryota; Viridiplantae; Streptophyta; Magnoliopsida; Poales; Poaceae
Description: MIR812 microRNA precursor family
Rfam family: MIR812 microRNA precursor family
Source: Rfam by way of RNAcentral